AAAACAAUCCUACGGGAGGCAGCAGUAGGGAAUAUUGGGCAAUGGGUGCAAGCUUGACCCAGCCAUGCCGCGUGCCGGAAGAAGGCCCUCAGGGUUGUAAACGGCUUUUGACAGGGAAGAAGAGACAGGAUGCGUCCUGUUGUGACGGUACCUGUUGAAUAAGCACCGGCUAACUCCGUGCCAGCAGCCGCGGUAAUACGGAGGGUGCGAGCGUUGUCCGGAUUUAUUGGGUUUAAAGGGUGCGUAGGCGGGCUUAUAAGUCAGUGAUGAAAUCCAGCUGCUCAACAGUUGAUGUGCCAUUGAUACUGUAGGUCUUGAAGUAAUUGGAGGCUGCCGGAAC
This 340-nucleotide ribosomal RNA is filed under the name uncultured bacterium. RNAcentral describes it as "bacterial SSU rRNA". It matches the Rfam family "Bacterial small subunit ribosomal RNA", at positions 330 to 667 of the family's 1533-position model. The record is from RNAcentral.